Molecule: ribosomal RNA, 468 nt
Filed under: uncultured bacterium
Lineage: Bacteria
Description: partial 16S ribosomal RNA
Rfam family: Bacterial small subunit ribosomal RNA
Source: RNAcentral
GACGAACGCUGGCGGCGUGCUUAACACAUGCAAGUCGAACGGAAAGGCCCUGCUUUUGUGGGGGGCUCGAGUGGCGAACGGGUGAGUAACACGUGAGUAACCUGCCCUUGACUUUGGGAUAACUUCAGGAAACUGGGGCUAAUACCGGAUAGGAGCUCCUGCUGCAUGGUGGGGGUGGGAAAGUUUCGGCGGUUGGGGAUGGACUCGGGGCUUAUCAGCUUGUUGGUGGGGUAGUGGCUUACCAAGGCUUUGACGGGUAGCCGGCCUGAGAGGGUGACCGGCCACAUUGGGACUGAGAUACGGCCCAGACUCCUACGGGAGGCAGCAGUGGGGAAUAUUGCACAAUGGGCGGAAGCCUGAUGCAGCAACGCCGCGUGCGGGAUGACGGCCUUCGGGUUGUAAACCGCUUUCGCCUGUGACGAAGCGUGAGUGACGGUAAUGGGUAAAGAAGCACCGGCUAACUACGUG